Ostrea edulis (European flat oyster) is the source of this 354-nucleotide long non-coding RNA. RefSeq lists it as uncharacterized. The record is from RefSeq and is a predicted model, not a curated record. The transcript is spliced from 3 exons. Lineage: Eukaryota; Metazoa; Mollusca; Bivalvia; Ostreida; Ostreidae.
CAGUAAUCCGCAUCACUUCGGCGCUUUCACUUCCUUUCCCAACAUGUGGUGCGUGCUGCAAUAUAAUGCUGAAUAUCGCUCAAAGUGUGGAUUUCCUUACUUUGUGUUACAAAAGGAUGAUGAAAUCAUACAACGGAUUGUUUAAUAGUCUCUAACCACUGGAUCAUUCACAGACAGCAGUGACUUUACCAUGUCUACAGUUGAUUCCGUAUCUGAUGAUAAAGAAAAUACUCCUGUCACAAUCUAUACCUGGACUCUGGGACUGUUGACUCUGUUGCUGUAACAUUGCCUCUCUGAUGAACUCUGAAAUGAUUUUAAAAAGGAUUCUAAUUUGUGAUCGCAGUUGGACUCAUA